UAAAAAUAUACAUUGAUGUGUUUACUUCACA
This 31-nucleotide non-coding RNA is filed under the name Mus musculus (house mouse). Lineage: Eukaryota; Metazoa; Chordata; Mammalia; Rodentia; Muridae. The record is from RNAcentral.